RNAcentral lists this transfer RNA (87 nucleotides) under Chloroflexota bacterium. RNAcentral describes it as "Chloroflexi bacterium tRNA-Leu". It matches the Rfam family "tRNA". From Rfam's summary of the family: Transfer RNA (tRNA) molecules are approximately 80 nucleotides in length. Their secondary structure includes four short double-helical elements and three loops (D, anti-codon, and T loops). The record is from RNAcentral. Lineage: Bacteria; Bacillati; Chloroflexota.
GCCGAAGUGGCGGAACGGCAGACGCGCUGCGUUCAGGGCGCAGUGGGGUUUAUCCCCGUGUGAGUUCAAAUCUCACCUUCGGCACCA